Molecule: ribosomal RNA, 180 nt
Filed under: Escherichia coli
Lineage: Bacteria; Pseudomonadati; Pseudomonadota; Gammaproteobacteria; Enterobacterales; Enterobacteriaceae
Description: partial 16S ribosomal RNA
Rfam family: Bacterial small subunit ribosomal RNA
Source: RNAcentral
AAAUUGAAGAGUUUGAUCAUGGCUCAGAUUGAACGCUGGCGGCAGGCCUAACACAUGCAAGUCGAACGGUAACAGGGAUCAGCUUGCUGAUUCGCUGACGAGUGGCGGACGGGUGAGUAAUGUCUGGGAAACUGCCUGAUGGAGGGGGAUAACUACUGGAAACGGUAGCUAAUACCGCAU